CAGACACUGUGUGACUAGGUUAUAAAAAGCAUUGUAACUUUCUCCCCUCUCUGUCUCUCUCUCUUUCUCUCUCACAUUGCUUACUCCGGAGAAACUAGCUGACACAUUGCAAGGACUCUGAACCAAAUCUAUGAAGAGGUGCACACAACAAGCAAGUGGGGCUUCCUACCGUGUGUUUAUAUAAAGUAAGUCUACACACAUCAAAUGAAGAAAGAAGAUGUACUACUUGAACUAUCCCAACAAUUCAGAUG
Molecule: long non-coding RNA, 251 nt
Filed under: Mustela putorius furo (domestic ferret)
Lineage: Eukaryota; Metazoa; Chordata; Mammalia; Carnivora; Mustelidae
Description: lncRNA (ENSMPUG00000028592.1)
Source: RNAcentral